Molecule: ribosomal RNA, 253 nt
Filed under: uncultured bacterium
Lineage: Bacteria
Description: partial 16S ribosomal RNA
Rfam family: Bacterial small subunit ribosomal RNA
Source: RNAcentral
UACGUAGGGUGCAAGCGUUAUCCGGAAUUAUUGGGCGUAAAGAGCUCGUAGGCGGUUUGUCGCGUCUGCUGUGAAAACUGGAGGCUCAACCUCCGGCCUGCAGUGGGUACGGGCAAACUAGAGUGCGGUAGGGGAGAUUGGAAUUCCUGGUGUAGCGGUGGAAUGCGCAGAUAUCAGGAGGAACACCGAUGGCGAAGGCAGAUCUCUGGGCCGUAACUGACGCUGAGGAGCGAAAGCAUGGGGAGCGAACAGG